CCAGUAAACAAGGGUAAGGUUUGUUAUGCAGGUUUAAGCCGGUGCCUUCUCCACUGAUACACAGUUUCUGGAGAUUUCGAGCCUUCUUUCCCUUCCUCCAGGAAGACAUCCUUACAAAUGGAGACUUCUCUUACAAAUGUGCUGCUAAGGUGACCAGCUGUCCCAGUGUACCUGGAUCUGUUGUGGGUUUAGCACCGAAGGUCCCAUGUCCUGGGAAUCCCUCCAGCCCAGACAAGCGCAGACGCCUUAGGGUUUGGUCCUACGCUGUGUGUAGCAAAGGAACAGUCUCUAAGGAUGGAACGAUAACGAGAAGAAGACGGUUCUAUAAGAUGUAGCGAAGUGCUCUACACGUAACCCUCACAACGACCCUAGGAGCAGGUGGCAAAACUCCAACCCUAGUCGAAUCCACCUUGUGGCUUUCCCAGUCCUCGUUCCUGAUGGCCUGAAUGUCACUGGAGGAAAGUCCGGAAUCUGGAUGACUGGUUCACUUUAAAGGUCAUAACUGCAAGCUGAAAACAGGCAGGCAGCACCGCACGGCAAAAAGAAAGAAAGAAAGGGAGGAAGAAAGACAUACAUCAUCUCAGAUCUUGACCAGACCUGCUGAAACAGAAUCCACCUUUUAAUAGGAUACACCAGAAUAAGAAGCCUCCGAGAUGAAGGCAAAGCUGGGCAGCUAUCCAACGAUGCCACGAAGGAUCUAGAAUUUUAUCUUUCUUCUCCACCAUCUUCAACUAUGAAAUUCACCCUCAUAGUGGCAAGGUGGCUUCCAUAGCUCUAAUAAUAAUAAUGCCUGCAACUCAAGUGGGAACCAAGGGAAAGGGCAAAGAGAAACAUUCCAGAUGAGUCUGGCUCUGUUAAGUCUUUCCAGAAGCUCUACAAAACUCUCCACAUAGAGACUAUUAGCCAGAACUGUGUCCCGUGGCCAUCUUCACAGCGGGGGAGGCCAGGUGACUGUGCAUCUUAACUGGGAGCAUUGUUACCCAGAA
Long non-coding RNA from Orcinus orca (killer whale), 986 nucleotides. RefSeq lists it as uncharacterized. The record is from RefSeq and is a predicted model, not a curated record. The transcript has 6 exons. Lineage: Eukaryota; Metazoa; Chordata; Mammalia; Artiodactyla; Delphinidae.